This 323-nucleotide ribosomal RNA is filed under the name uncultured Pseudomonadota bacterium. Its description in RNAcentral is "bacterial SSU rRNA". It matches the Rfam family "Bacterial small subunit ribosomal RNA", at positions 30 to 351 of the family's 1533-position model. Lineage: Bacteria; Pseudomonadati; Pseudomonadota. The record is from RNAcentral.
AUUGAACGCUGGCGGAAUGCUUUACACAUGCAAGUCGAGCGGCAGCAUGGACUUCGGUCUGAUGGCGAGCGGCGAACGGGUGAGUAAUAUAUAGGAACAUACCUAGUAAGUGGGGGAUAACGCCGAGAAAUCGGUGCUAAUACCGCAUACGCCCUGAGGGGGAAAGCGGGGGAUCUUCGGGACCUCGCGUUAUUAGAUUGGCCUAUAUCUGAUUAGCUAGUUGGUGAGGUAAAGGCUCACCAAGGCGACGAUCAGUAGCUGGUCUGAGAGGAUGAUCAGCCACACUGGAACUGAGACACGGUCCAGACUCCUACGGGAGGCAG